This 209-nucleotide long non-coding RNA is filed under the name Elaeis guineensis (African oil palm). RNAcentral's name for it is "long non-coding RNA (EGUI_LNC054855)". The record is from RNAcentral. Lineage: Eukaryota; Viridiplantae; Streptophyta; Magnoliopsida; Arecales; Arecaceae.
UAAGUCCUUUAUGGAGAACUGUGAUGAUAAUCAUAGCUUCACACUCUACAAAGCAGGGAUAUCAUUUUCUACUAAUAGUAUGUCAUACACAUAUAGCACAAGAAAGAUGACUACAAAAUCGAAAGCCUACUUGUAGACGUAAGGCUCUUCUCCAUUUCUAAUGAAGCCAUAUAGUUUGAUCACUGUUGGGUAUAAAAUACCCUCAGCCG